This 395-nucleotide ribosomal RNA is filed under the name uncultured bacterium. RNAcentral describes it as "partial 16S ribosomal RNA". It matches the Rfam family "Bacterial small subunit ribosomal RNA", at positions 523 to 918 of the family's 1533-position model. The record is from RNAcentral.
CUACGUAGGGUGCGAGCGUUAAUCGGAAUUACUGGGCGUAAAGCGUGCGCAGGCGGUUAUAUAAGACAGUUGUGAAAUCCCCGGGCUCAACCUGGGAAUUGCAUCUGUGACUGUAUAGCUAGAGUACGGUAGAGGGGGAUGGAAUUCCGCGUGUAGCAGUGAAAUGCGUAGAUAUGCGGAGGAACAACGAUGGCGAAGGCAAUCCCCUGGACCUGUACUGACGCUCAUGCACGAAAGCGUGGGGAGCAAACAGGAUUAGAUACCCUGGUAGUCCACGCCCUAAACGAUGUCAACUGGUUGUUGGGUGCAUUAGUACUCAGUAACGAAGCUAACGCGUGAAGUUGACCGCCUGGGGAGUACGGCCGCAAGGUUGAAACUCAAAUGAAUUGGCGGGG